AUUGAACGCUGGCGGCAUGCCUUACACAUGCAAGUCGAACGGCAGCGCGGGAGCAAUCCUGGCGGCGAGUGGCGAACGGGUGAGUAAUACAUCGGAACGUGCCCAAUCGUGGGGGAUAACGCAGCGAAAGCUGUGCUAAUACCGCAUACGAUCUACGGAUGAAAGCAGUGGAUCGCAAGACCUUGCGCGAAUGGAGCGGCCGAUGGCAGAUUAGGUAGUUGGUGAGGUAAAGGCUCACCAAGCCUUCGAUCUGUAGCUGGUCUGAGAGGACGACCAGCCACACUGGGACUGAGACACGGCCCAGACUCCUACGGGAGGCAGCAGUGGGGAAUUUUGGACAAUGGGCGAAAGCCUGAUCCAGCCAUGCCGCGUGCAGGAUGAAGGCCUUCGGGUUGUAAACUGCUUUUGUACGGAACGAAACGGUCUUUUCUAAUAAAGAAGGCUAAUGACGGUACCGUAAGAAUAAGCACCGGCUAACUACGUG
This 484-nucleotide ribosomal RNA is filed under the name uncultured bacterium. RNAcentral's name for it is "partial 16S ribosomal RNA". It matches the Rfam family "Bacterial small subunit ribosomal RNA", at positions 30 to 507 of the family's 1533-position model. The record is from RNAcentral.